UGCGUAGGUGGCGUCGUAAGUCGGGUGUGAAAUCUCGGGGCUUAACUCCGAAACUGCAUUCGAUACUGCGGUGCUUGAGGACUGGAGAGGAGACUGGAAUUUACGGUGUAGCAGUGAAAUGCGUAGAGAUCGUAAGGAGGACCAGUGGCGAAGGCGGGUCUCUGGACAGUUCCUGACACUGAGGCACGAAGGCCAGGGGAGCAAACG
Molecule: ribosomal RNA, 207 nt
Filed under: uncultured bacterium
Lineage: Bacteria
Description: partial 16S ribosomal RNA
Rfam family: Bacterial small subunit ribosomal RNA
Source: RNAcentral